GAUGAACGCUAGCGGCAGGCCUAACACAUGCAAGUCGAGGGGUAGAGAUUGCUUGCGAUCUUGAGACCGGCGCACGGGUGCGUGACGCGUAUACAAUCUGCCUCUUACUGCGGGAUAGCCCAGGGAAACUUGGAUUAACACCGCAUAGCAUAGUGUUCCGGCAUCGGGACGUUAUUAAAGGUUACGGUAAGAGAUGAGUAUGCGUCCUAUUAGCUAGUUGGUAAGGUAACGGCUUACCAAGGCAACGAUAGGUAGGGGCCCUGAGAGGGGGAGUCCCCACACUGGUACGUGAGACACGGACCAGACUCCUACGGAGGCGAGCAGUGAGGAAGUAUUAGGUACGAAUAGG
RNAcentral lists this ribosomal RNA (349 nucleotides) under uncultured bacterium. RNAcentral's name for it is "bacterial SSU rRNA". It matches the Rfam family "Bacterial small subunit ribosomal RNA", at positions 28 to 379 of the family's 1533-position model. The record is from RNAcentral.